Molecule: ribosomal RNA, 301 nt
Filed under: uncultured bacterium
Lineage: Bacteria
Description: partial 16S ribosomal RNA
Rfam family: Bacterial small subunit ribosomal RNA
Source: RNAcentral
CAGUCGCCGCGGUAAUACGUAGGGUGCGAGCGUUAAUCGGAAUUACGGGGCGUAAAGCGCACGUAGGCGGAUCAGUCAGUCAGGGGUGAAAUCCCGGGGCUCAACCCUGGAACUGCCUUUGAUACUGCUGGUCUUGAGGUCGAGAGAGGUGAGUGGAAUUCCGAGUGUAGAGGUGAAAUUCGUAGAUAUUCGGAGGAAUACCAGUGGCGAAGGCGGCUCACUGGCUCGAUACUGACGCUGAGGUGCGAAAGCGUGGGGAGCAAACAGGAUUAGAUACCCGGGUAGUCCCUGUCUCUUAUAC